UCCCUGGUGGCUCAGAUGGUAAAGCAUCUGCCUGCAGUGCGGGAGACCUGGGUUCGAUCCCUGGGUUGGGAA
Ovis aries (sheep) is the source of this 72-nucleotide transfer RNA. It matches the Rfam family "tRNA". From Rfam's summary of the family: Transfer RNA (tRNA) molecules are approximately 80 nucleotides in length. Lineage: Eukaryota; Metazoa; Chordata; Mammalia; Artiodactyla; Bovidae. The record is from Rfam.